UCUCGACCCGCGGCGAGGCUCCGGCGUCGCGCCCUGGUCCUCCCUGUAUCCGGAGAUGGCCCGGCUGCGUGCCGCUCAUACGGAGGCUACUUCGUCUAGGCCCUCAGCUGGCUCAAGAUUUGGCGGCCCUCUGCUCCUCAAUGCCCCACAUCGAGCGCCCAAUCCAGGAAAAUAGCCCCAUUACGCUGCGCUCCUCAUACCCCUGCAUCAUCACAAGAUGGUCCGGCUGGGCACCGCUAUGACGGACGGGCGUUUUAUGUCCAUGGAAGCCAGCUCCGCCACCCAGGCCCUCCUCUGCAAGACCGACGAGGACACUGCUUUCUCCAAGUAGAUCGCGCAGAAUGAAGAAUUGCUACACUGGAACCUGGGCCAUGCAGUGAUUGAUAUUUCGGUUGCGUCGCAGUUUCAUCUAAGGUAAGUUAUGAAUGAUGCAUUGCUUCACAAUAUUAUAUGCCGAUGCUCUCAUAAUUUAAUCUAUCCGGCUUAUAUACAACUUUCUUGGUGAUCGUAUUUUUCAUGUUGUGUGUUGAUGUGUAUCACAACCUAACAUGCAGACAUAAAUAAAUUGUAAUUACUGUUGUAUACCGUUGGUUUUGGUAAAAGCUCAUGGGUUAUAUGUUUUGGUGGGUUUUGGUAAAACCACUUCUCACCUUCAGAGAUAUAUGUUUGUUGCUUGCUCUACACAUGUGUGGUGCUCCAUCUCAUUCAUUCGUUUGAUCUGACCAUGGUGCAUGGCAUACAUGUAUGGAGAAACUUUGUAUAGUGUUGUUGGCUGGUUGCAUCUACAAUUUAAGGUAAUCUAUGUGACUUAGGAUGAUGCAUGCAUGAAUUAAACCUGGCUAUUAGAUUAACUAACCUUGCAAUAUGAAACACUACUAUAUGUACUCCUUCAACUUAACAAAAAUGAUGUGCCCACUUGCUUUGUCAAUUGCAAAGAGGUGUGUGUGAUAUGGAGAAUUCUGAACAUGGAAGAUGAAAAACAGAUGUUGGCUGAGUGUGCUGGUCCUAAAGUGUUCCUUCAACGCUUCUUCACCUGGGAGGCCUCCAAACAAAUGCUAUGUAUUUGCUCUUAUGUGGACGUGGUGGCUAAUCUGAAACAAAGUCAAUGUUGGAGAGAAAAGAUGCCAUGUGAAUGACACACUGUAUUGAAUCAGAAGAAAUGUUGUAGAUUAUGAGAUGUUAUGUCUGAAGAAACAAACAACGACUGUGACAGUGGCUCAAAGAUGGAAACCGCCUGGAGCUGAUGUGCUGAAAGUGAACAUUGAUGGUAGUUUCUUCUCAGAUUCAGCUGAGGGAGGCUCGGGUUUUAUAGUCAGAGACAACUCAUGCAAUGCGGUGGCCUUAGGAGCAGGAAAACAUCGUCAGCUUCAAGACCCUAUGCAUGCAGAGGCAGAGGCGUGCUUGCAUGCAUUUCAGGAGGCUCAAACUUGUGCAAUGAGGAGAAUUACUAGACAUACACACAUGAACUGGUGAAAGCCACCACAUCAAAAGAUUAGGACCUGGCACCUAACGGUGUUCUCUUCCAGGAGAUCAAAGCUUACCUAGCUUUACAUUUUGUUAUGUUUAAAUAAAGUAAAGUACUGUCCUAGACUUUGUAAUAAGGUUGUUGAUGCCCUUGUGGCAUUCGGUGUGAAGAGUUGGUUGCUAGCGAUCUUGAUGUGCACUCUGGUUAAUGUAAUAAGGUUUUCCAUUAUAUUUUUAA
This is a long non-coding RNA of Triticum dicoccoides, 1702 nucleotides long. RefSeq lists it as uncharacterized. The transcript is spliced from 2 exons. Lineage: Eukaryota; Viridiplantae; Streptophyta; Magnoliopsida; Poales; Poaceae. The record is from RefSeq and is a predicted model, not a curated record.